CACCUCUAGCAUUACAAGUAUUAGAGGCACUGCCUGCCCAGUGACUUAAGUUUAACGGCCGCGGUAUCCUGACCGUGCAAAGGUAGCAUAAUCACUUGUUCCUUAAUUAGGGACUCGCAUGAACGGCUAAACGAGGGUCCAACUGUCUCUUAUUUUUAAUCAGUGAAAUUGACCUUCCAGUGAAGAGGCUGGAAUAAUAUAAUAAGACGAGAAGACCCUAUGGAGCUUAAAUUAAUAAACUUAUUUAUUAUAUACUAAACCUAAUGGCACAAAAAACAAAUAAAAUAAAUUUAAAAUUUUGGUUGGGGUGACCUCGGAGAACAAAAAAUCCUCCGAACGAUUGUAACUUAGACUAACAAGUCUCAGUAACCUAAUUCCAAUUGACCCAAAAAUAUUUGAUCAACGGACCAAGUUACCCUAGGGAUAACAGCGCAAUCCUAUUUAAGAGUCCCUAUCGACAAUAGGGUUUACGACCUCGAUGUUGGAUCAGGACAUCCCAAUGGUGCAGAAGCUAUUAAUGGUUCGUUUGUUCAA
RNAcentral lists this ribosomal RNA (534 nucleotides) under Mastomys kollmannspergeri (Kollmannsperger's Mastomys). Its description in RNAcentral is "partial 16S ribosomal RNA". It matches the Rfam family "Bacterial large subunit ribosomal RNA", at positions 1816 to 2584 of the family's 2925-position model. The record is from RNAcentral. Lineage: Eukaryota; Metazoa; Chordata; Mammalia; Rodentia; Muridae.